This is a long non-coding RNA of Vidua chalybeata, 6044 nucleotides long. RefSeq lists it as uncharacterized. The record is from RefSeq and is a predicted model, not a curated record. NCBI's taxonomy places the organism in Eukaryota, Metazoa, Chordata, Aves, Passeriformes, Viduidae. The transcript has 3 exons.
CAUAAAUUUAUUCCUGCAACCUACAGAUACUCUAAAUGACAAAAUAAAAUUGAGCAUGAAUAUAGAAAACAUAAUGCAUUUACCAUGCAGAAAUAAUUUGCACCUAUAAACACAUUCUAAAUUGAACUACACAAGGCUAAUAUCACAUAUAAAAAUAAAGCAACUAGACAUUUAACUCACAGGAAGUAAUAUGAUCAAAGACAAAGUCUAAAUGCCAAAACAGUCAGUAAUUGUCUUCAUAAAAUUACUGGCAGUAAGAUUUUUCAUGUCAUUAUUAUCAUAUUGGUAAAACUUUCUACAGUAUAAAAGUAUACACUAAACAUUGUGUUGUAAAAAUCCCUGUGGUACGAGUCAUAAAAAAACACCCAGCAAAAACAGGUGUCUCUAUUACCUGACAUCUCUACAAGGCUUUGAAAUCAGAAACUGAUCUGCACAACCAUAAGUUAAGCAUGCCUUUAAAUGAUUUGUGAGACCAUUUUACCUCUAACAUUUUGCAGCAAAAUGUUCUUUUGACAGAACACUUUAUUCUGAGUCCCUAUUUCUGUAUUUCACCCUAAAAAUCACUUUUAUAAAUUACAAGUGUCACAUAGAUCAGUUUGAAUUAAAAACCAAAUCUCAAUCUAUGAAAAGAGUCUUGAUUUGAAUAGGCUGUUUUGCUUUUAAAUCAACUGGAAACCCAGGCCAAAUUCCCUUUAACAUAUUCAGUGUGCCUAAGCUGAUUUUGGUUUAAUUUCAAUACACGAAAUAGUACUGGUGACAGGCAAUAACAUGAAACUUGAGAGAUUUUGGCCAUGACUCUUGCAGAAUCUGGAGAAUUAGUAAGUCUGAAGUAUGUGAAACCAGUGCAAAAGGGAAGGAAUUAUCCAUGCUAACCUUUUAAUGCCUAAUUAUUUACCAAAGUGAAACGUCUUUGCUAUAUUCAUAAAACUAAAAUCCCAAUUCGUACAACUGUACUGAACAGGAAGGGUUCCUCUCCUAUUAAAUGCAGAGUGAUUAAACAUUGGAGACUGGAAAUGCUGGUUGAUAAAAAUGGCUGGUGCCUGUCCCAGAGGAGGUUCUCUCUGGAACGCAGACUUCUGAUAGCUGGAUUAACACACUGAAUAAAUAAGGAUGAUGACUUUUUAGAUAUUACUACUGGCAAUUUCUUUGUACUCAUUCCUCUGGAAUACUCCUGUUGGUUUAGGAGGAGAGGACACAACAAAUUUACCAAAAAUCCUAUGCCUAAUUCCGCAUUUAAACAGGCUCCUUUGCUGCAGCGGGAGUUGCCACUGCAAUGAGAAAUUUGUGUGUGAGGGCAGUGUCCCAUGGCUGUGGAUCUGUACAUCUCUUCACACCAAACACUGCCUGGGCCGGGCUGUGACCUCAGGCAGGAAGGAGAUUGCUUGACUUUCAUAUAAAAAAAGCAUGUUGCCUGAUAACUGGAAAAUUAUUUUUGCAUUAUUCCAGUAGUUGGACCAAAUAAAGAGCUGUUGUGAUGUAAUCCCAGAGACACAUCUCAGGUACUUGCUUUGAGCUGCAGAACACUGUCAAAUGAGUAGCAUAAUCCAGAAAUCAUCAUUUUGUCCUUAAAACUUACAUUCAGAAGUAUUGCUUGUAGGUGUUAUUUCACACUUUGCACAACAAAUAUGUUUCAUUUAUACAACUGUACAUUUUCACUAAAUAUUUACACUCUUCAUACACACCCAUUAUUAAUGUAACUCUUACUCCCUAUUGUAGAAUGGAUUUUUACCUGUAGCAUAAGGUUUAUCCAUAAGCAACUGCUUGACUAGAAUGAAUAAUGUUUCAUUUUCAAACAAUGACCUACAUUAAACAUGAGUGGUUAGUGAUAGAAAACAACAUGGUUAUAGUUCACUGUAAGAUCUUUCAAUUCUUGGAAUGAAGUUUUCUGGCAAAAUCUUCACUAGUUUGAAUUAAUUGUGAUAACCUCUUAUUCACCAAAACAAAGAAGUACACAUACACAAUUCCAUCAGAAUUCCUCAAGUCUUUACCAGCAUGGACAAAUUGCAAUAGAAAAUCUUCUAAGGAUUUACAGGAAAAGGCAAACUCAGUUGUUAGCCUAAGAGUCUGUCCUAAAAUGCAAUAGUUUAGUUAAAAUACAUAGGAGAAGCCUUCAUGGUAUUCUCUGCACUUGACUUGACUGCAGCCAAUACUAUUAAUCCUCUAAUGUCAUAAAUACUGUAGGAAAGACAUGCUAAUAAAAAGACAGAACUGACAUCAUUUAUCAUGUGUAGGAGUCUAUAAAUAAUGCAGAAAUCUCUCUCACUUUUACAAGAAAAUCAGCUUAACAACAGUUUUCUGAGAUAAUUGACUAAAAUUUCACUGCAAAAAUAUUUAUACUCUGAAAAUAAAAGUCUUUUUAAAUAAAAACAUGACUUUUUAUUCUCAUUGUUGUAUCAAUGUCAGCUUUCAAUGAAAGACUUAUGGAUGUGUUAUUAGUGUUCCUGCUAUCUGUUCUGUUUGUGGGAAGGUUUGAUUUAGUAAUGAAAUCUGCUCCAUUUGAAAAAUGCAUUUCAGCUUAAUGUCAGAGCUUUGAAAGCCUGGAUUGGUUUGAUAUCUAAAAUGACUUACAGUUGGGAAAAAUGAGUUUUCUCCUAAUUAAGACACAUUACAAUGAGAUUGUUCAAAUCAACUGUUGCUAACAAAAAUGCCCAAGUUACAUAUAUUUAGAAAAGAUUUAGCAAAUAGCUGUUCUCUGAUACAAGCCUGCUGCAGAGCACUCUGUAGGGAACCCCACUCUGUGGAAUUUAAGGGCACUGGUGGAAUUUACAGAGUCCAUACACCGCAUACCUAAAAUGUUGAUAAAGACUGAGUUUCACUUACUUAAAUCAAAGUUUUAAAGGUUGUCAAAAUAAAUACUGCAAGGUAAAACUCAGCAAAAUGCAGCAUUGUUUUUACCAUAAUCUCUAUUUUCCAGGUAUUUGUAAAAGUGAAUUGUUCAGCCCUUUUCCUAUUAUGAAGAAAUCCUUUAUAAUUUUGAGUUAUGGAUAGUGGCAAUAUACAUUAAGAAGCAGACAGUAAGGAUAGUGGUGGCUUUGGCUCCAAAACCUAAAUCCUAAACCUGUAUAACAUUGUAGAAGUAGUUUUUAUUCAUGAUAUAUAAAUGUGUUAUUCUUCCCUGUGCAAACUGUGCUUCUGCAAGGAGCCCUGUAAACUUCAUUGAACAUAAUUCAGUGAUGGAACUCCACAGAGGAACAGGACUGCCUGGAUACAAUGCUACGUAGAACUGAGGAAUUUUUAUUCUUUCUACUCAACAGAAAAUAAAUAAAAGUAUAUUUUGUUAUUGUUUUAAAAUGCUUAUGGGAAUACUUUAAAAAUCUAAAUUUUGUCAUAAACCUCAUUUUCUGUAUUCUUUUCUUACAGGUAAAAUAUUCUAUUGUGUUAUUUAAAGCUGUGUUGAAAAGUGAGGUGAUUCAUGUCUGUGCAAGUGUCAGGAUUAUGUAUAUUCUGUAUAUUUAGAUAUUCAUAAUGAGUAUAACUUCGGAAUGAGAAUAAAAUAUGAAUGAAAUACUUUUCCCAGAAAAACUGUACAGGUUUUUGAAAGACUAUAUAAUCCUCACAAAACUUCUAGAGCCCACUUUUGUCUGUGGCAGACACCUUCUCGCACAUAACACUGAUAUUAUGAAUAGAUGCUAGUAAAUGAAACAUCUCUAGCUAAUAGUACCAAAGAUAUAAUUUAUAGUAGUAAUGGAACUUGCUGUAUGUACUGCUAUAUAUUAUAGUUUUCAUUGUAUGACUUUUUUAUUUCAACCACAACUUAACAGGAUGACAAAGGAAAGCAUGAAUACACGUAAAUGUGAGAUGUUGUGACUAAGCACAGGGUAACAAUGGGAAAUUUUCCCUACAAAUCAUCUCUUUGCAUGAAGCUUUAAAUGUAUUUCCUCCACAGAACUCAAACCAACCCCUGACAUUAAAGUGAGUGGCCUGUUUUGUAUGUCCCUUACUUCAUCAUUCCUUGUAACUGCUUUGUACAAUACACAACUGCACAGAAAGGAGUUUGCUGUGACCCCACCCCUGUAGUUCCCACAAAAGCUACCACUGAAACCCUCAAAUGGCUACCAGAAAUCUCAGCAUUGGGAAGGCUAAGGAAUUUGCCAGCAUGGUUUUAAAAGAAGCCAAGAGGACCAUCAGUCACAUACAAUGAUUGCAUUUUUGCCUGCUGAUAUUAAUCCAUUUUUAAAAAGAAAAGAAAGCAAUAUGUGUUUUACUUUUCUCAUGCUUGUGACUGCAGAUUCCAGUUAAAAAGUGAUGAUUUAGGUUACAGAUUUUGUACUUCCAUUUUCCCCUUCAAUUUGUCAAAUGCAGUGAGAGAACUAAAAAAAGGAGAGAAGAAUAGAGGUGGCAAGGCUUCUAAAUAUAACCAAGUUUGUUUAUGUCAAUGAGCUCUGCAAAAGGAUAGUGUGUUUAUGUGACUUUCUCAGUGAGAUGGUUUGUAAUGCUCAUUUAUGCUGUGCAUCCCUUAUUGUUCAUAUUUCAAAGGCCUUUUUUUCCCAAGGCUCUAAACAUACAUAUCAAAAGUUUAAUUAUUAACUCAGUUGUGGAAAUUGAAGUAUUGAAGCUGACUGACUCUGUCAAGUCGAUAUUUACUAUUAGAAGAAGAAUUAGAUUUCAUGUCAUGCCUCCAAAUCUUAAAUCUAGAAUUGUCCACCUACCACACUGUGAUAAAUGUUCAUGUGUUUGGGUUUAAGUGCUUAGAUCCCAUGGAAGAGCAAUCAGGAAAAUUACUAAAAAAUUUCUUAAGGAUAACUCAGAUGUUGAACAUAAAACCCCCUCAUAUUUCAUGUUACAAUUCUCAUCACUACAAUUUCUCAGGAAUGUUCUGAUUCAUCCCUGUGGAACACUUUGUGUGCUGCAGUUUAACUUUGUAUUUCUGUCAUGGUACCAGCAAUGUGCCAAAACAGCGAUUUCCUACAGCCGGCGUGUUGCUCACUCCUAAAGCAAACGUGUCCUGUCUGCUCCCAUCCCCGCUGUCUGUUACAAUUAUAAUUUUCUGUAAGAUAAGAAAAUCCCAUUUUUACCACUGGAGAGCCAGGCUGCUUAGGUCACAAGAUUCUCCUGGCUUAAUCCUUGCGUAUGAAUCAUGAACUUUCCCUAAUAAGUACCGGCAUUCUUCAGAUGAUCAAGCUAGCUUACGAAGGCUUCCAGAGCUUUCCACAUUAAUUAUCACCAUGUUUCAAGGAUCCAAAGUAGCAGCUAAUUAAGAAUUAUUAAGACUGGCUGGGGCACAAGUGCAAGCUGCCAGUCUCACAUUUACCAUGGAACAGAAGACAAAUAAUCUGACUGGAAAGUGAACCAGAGAGAAAUCUGCUUUCCACUUACAUCAAACAAAGCUUAAAGGUAUAUGGGCUUCAAGAGAAAGGAUGGAAACAAAGCAAUCCUGUCCAUUUGCAGCUGACUGGACAUUAUGAAGCCUGUGGCAAGCCUGUUUUUUCUCACUACUGCAUCAGUUGAAAUUUGCAGGAAAAAAGUAUGAGGAUGCAUUGUGAUUGUCUUCUUUUUUUCUGGGUGGAGAACCACAGGCAAGAACUUUGGAAAUCACACAUUAGCACAAUAUUCAAGUCAAACCAUGUCCAAACAACUCUGGCCGCCUGCACUUCAAAGCACUGGCAAAGCCCACACAGUGUUCUUCCAAGGUUUGCUCGAUUGCCAUAGUGGUGAAUCAUGACCAUAAAAGAAGCUGUGUGAAUGUUGGUUGGGUUUUUUCUCUCCAUACAGGAAACAAUAAAACAUUAAUAAAGAAGUGAGGUCAAGAGAGAACUAUAGAAGUGUUCUUCAGUGACAUCUAAGUGGCUGGUUUUUUUUCCACCUGGGACACCUAGUCAAAACAUUUGUUAUUGAAGAUCUCACUGUGACUCACAUGUUAAAAUUCCACAUACAGAUUUAACUCAGUCCUAACAAACUGUCUGUUACCUCAGUCUGACAAACUGUGACAAACAAUCCCUGAAAUAUUUUAUAUCAAUAAAUCUGACAGAGUUCGGUGUAAGUCACUUCUGAGCAUUCUAGCUUGUUUUGGGUUUAUUACUCAGAAAAAAAUUAAAGUAUGGUAA